RNAcentral lists this ribosomal RNA (1374 nucleotides) under Parcubacteria group bacterium GW2011_GWA2_42_14. Its description in RNAcentral is "bacterial SSU rRNA". It matches the Rfam family "Bacterial small subunit ribosomal RNA". The record is from RNAcentral.
AUUGAGGAUUUGAUCCUGGUCCAGGAUGAACGCUGGCGGCGUGGAUAAGGCAUGCAAGUCGUGCGAUUGGUUGUUGCAUAGCGGCGAACGAGUUAGUAAUACCUUGGAAUCUACCCCGAAGACGGGAAUAAUCCGCCGAAAGGCGGACUAAUACCCGAUAGUCCCAAAUCCGCAAGGAUUUGGGUAAAGGCGCAAGACACUUCGGGAGGAGCCUCGGUCCUAUCAGCUAGUUGGCGGGGUAAUGGCCCACCAAGGCGAUGACGGGUAGGGGGCGUGAGAGCGCGUUCCCCAACGACACUACUGAGAUACGGAGUGUACACCUACGGGUGGCCGCAGUCGAGAAUAUUCGACAAUGGGCGAAAGCCUGAUCGAGCGACGCCGCGUGCAGGAUGAAGGCCUUCGGGUCGUAAACUGCUUUUAACUGGGAACAAUCGGUGCUCGAUGAGCGUACCAGUAGAAUAAGGAGCUGCAAACUUCGUGCCAGCAGCCGCGGUAAUACGAAGGCUCCAAGCGUUAUCCGGAUUUAUUGGGCGUAAAGGGUCUCCAGGCGGUUUUGUUAGUCCGCUGUUAAAUCUCGACGCUUAACGUCGAGGCCGCAGUGGAAACGGCAAAACUAGAGGCGGGUAGAGGCAUAUGGAACUCACGGUGUAGGGGUGAAAUCCGUUGAUAUCGUGGGGAACACCAAAGGCGAAGGCAAUAUGCUGGGCCUGUCCUGACGCUCAUGAGACGAAAGCGUGGGGAGCGAAUAGGAUUAGAUACCCUAGUAGUCCACGCCCUAAACGAUGCAGACUCGCUAUCGGAAGUAUCGACCCUUUCGGUGGCCAAGCUUACGCGUUAAGUCUGCCGCCUGGGAAGUACGGCCGCAAGGCUAAAACUCAAAGGAAUAGACGGGAGUUCGCACAAGCGGUGGUUCAUGCCUCGUCAGUUCGUGGUGUAAACUGUUCCCUUAAGUGGGGUAACGAACGCAACCCUCAUCCUAUGUUAUAUGUGUCAUAGGAAACUGCCUCUUUAUAAGGGGAGGAAGGUGGGGAUGACGCGAGAUCAGCGUGGCCCUCUGAUGCCCUGGGCUACACGCAUGAAACAAUGGCGCCGACAAAGCGUAGCAAAGCCGUAAGGCGGAGCCAAUCGCACCAAACGGCGCCUCAGUUCAGAUUGGGGUCUGCAACUCGACCCCAUGAAGAAGGAAUCGCUAGUAAACGCCGAUCAGCUAUGCGGCGUUGAAUACGUUCUCGAACUUUGUACUCACCGCCCCGUCACGUCAAGGGAGCCGGGAGUAGCCGAAACUUGGGGCAACCCAAACUAAGCUAAGCUCGGUGACAGGGACGAAGUCGUAACAAGGCAUCGGUAGCGGAAGCUGUCGAUGGAACAUUUCUU